This is a long non-coding RNA of Eriocheir sinensis (Chinese mitten crab), 372 nucleotides long. RefSeq lists it as uncharacterized. The transcript is spliced from 2 exons. Lineage: Eukaryota; Metazoa; Arthropoda; Malacostraca; Decapoda; Varunidae. The record is from RefSeq and is a predicted model, not a curated record.
AUUAUUAUAAAAAGUUGUAAAUAAUCUAGUGACGAUUGUAGGAUUAAAAAGUCCACUUGAGCAGCCACACCACGCGUCGACCUGAUAACAGAUGGACAAGCAAACUAACAGAACAGGAUUGCUAGGAGUCAGGUCAGACAAGAGGAGAGAUGAGCCUUUGCCGGGGCGUCGCGGAGCCACAAACAUCAGCCAAGGAGAAGAAGGACACUGACUGGAAACACCUUUGUCGCGGAGGUGACGAACAGUGACUCCUGACGCUGCUGACUUACUGACGGGGAGAUGCGUGCCUUACCUCGGCCCUGAUGUUGGUCGGGAAGUACUCGACCGCCAGCACCAAAGGAAUGUUGGCGAUGCCCAGGCCGGCCCCGAAGG